This is a non-coding RNA of Dipodomys ordii (Ord's kangaroo rat), 72 nucleotides long. NCBI's taxonomy places the organism in Eukaryota, Metazoa, Chordata, Mammalia, Rodentia, Heteromyidae. The record is from Rfam.
GGGAAGGUGGCUCAGUGGUAGAGCACUUGCCUUGCAUGCAUGAGGCCCUGGGUUCGAUUCCCCAGCAUCUCA